ACUUUACAGCCACUCAAAUAUGCCGGUAAACAAAGAUAUAGCAAAAAAACUUGCCAUUGUGGGACCUUGCAGAUAUACAUCAGACUACAAGUUUGGGCUCAUUUCUUUCGACUUUGUGCUCUGAAAAGUGCGAGACCGUGUGGUAGUUGGGGGGGUUGGGGGGGGGGAGAAAAAAAAGUUCCCAAGUUGGUGCGUCUGCACACAAAGUUGAGCACAAAGAAGAGAGGAGCGCUCCUUUGUUCACCGGGGAGCCUCGGGGUACAGAGGACGAACAGCAACGCCGCUCCUGUCCGGCAUCAUGCAAGCGUGCCGAACGUCUGGAUGGUCAACGUCGUAAGACGGAGGGAAAACAAGUUUCUUGGACUGAGUUGGAGAUUUGCCGCAUACGUUAUUUGGAAAGCAUGGUUUUGGGAGUUUGGGAACUUCCUCACAAUUUUGGAAUUACAAAACAGAAGAAAGAAUGAACUGUGGAUUGUGAUUUUUUGGUAAAUAACUUUAUGGCGCUCGAUAAGACGGAUAAUUGAGGUUUUAAUGAAACUCAGUCGAAGUGAUUCCGGGGGAAAGCGGGAAUCUGCCGGCAGUCACAGAAACGUGAGCCCCCCGCCACGCCGUCCGAGGGAACUCGUUUCAUACACAGAAACAUGAAACUGCUUAACCUGGCCAGGAUCACGGGGAGAUGAGCUUCCCUCACCGAGCAGCAGUGAGCUGCAGAUUCCUGGAUCCUGUGGGCAGUGUUGAGGUCACUGCCAAGGAGCUGCUGGUUGUAAUUCUGCCGUGUGGUGGUGGUCUCCACACACCCAGCCGGACAGGUGACCCGCGGCUGUCACCGAGAAAGGGGUCCGUGUCGUGCCCGUGAAGAGGGUGUCAUGUGAAGACCUGCUCUGUGGCAGCAAUCACAAGUGUCAACCAUCCGGGUCAGUUAGGGUGUGCAGGUACUGACUCACAUAAAUAAAAUAGUGUUAAUAUUAAUAAUAAUUAUAAUAUUAUUAUUAUUAUAAUAAUCGAUAGACAUUGGUAGAAGAUGAAAGUCCUCCAGAUAUGAAAGUUCCCCUUGAAAAUUCCUCAGAACCGUUGCCCAUGGAGAUUGGGGUCACAUUUCUACAUGUCCUGUCCCUUAAUGGUGGCCCCUGGGAGCCCUCUUUUCAGCCAGGUGACGUGAUGCAUUUUUACAGACAUCCUGCUAUGCCUUUUGCCUUAUUCACGUACUGUGGCACCGGCAGGCGCAGCUUCAGCCACAAGCGGCUUGCCGUUCAGAUGUCCGUCAGAGGUCCACGCAGAGAGGCCCCCUGUUGGUCACAAACAGUCCCUACACUAAAUAUGAAAAAGGCACAUUCCUUAUAUUGGGGAUGCUGAAGGGACAUAUUCAGCUAGCUAUGAUCGUUUGACUAUGGUUGCAGGUGGGGGCGGGUGGGGGGGCUGAAAUUAUGUUUUGGGUGGGGCACUUAAAAAAAACAAACCCACCCCUGACUGCAGAUUACAGAUGUGGGCUGAGGCCCGCUAACAUCCAGACCUCCCACCUAUUUUUUCCAGUGGGCUUUGAUAAAAGCUGACUUUUAUGUUUGUGGCCCCAUUAAUUAUCUUUGUUGGCUGGGCUAUAGCACAUCACACCGUGGGACACAUGUUAAUCUCAUGUGCCUGACAGAUGACUGAAGGAGCUGCUUUAAAGUCACGUGUGCCGUUAAUUUCCGUUUCCUGGAAGAGUAUCGGUAAGUCACACAGCAGCCUGUUACACAGCCGCCUCAGGCAGUGACCUCUUUUUAUUUUUAAAUAUGAAACUAAUCGAAAAACGGUCACCCUGAUUAUUAUUAAUAUUUCAUGGGUCUGGAGCCAUAGAAAUUAUUUGUCUGUUUUUAGUAACCAAUUGGGACUGCAGCGAUCCUCAGAGAUACAUCCUGGAUGGGACUGAAGGGCACACACACCCACACACACACACACACACACACACAAACACACACACACACACAAACACACACACACACACAUAGGCCUAUACUCAUAUCUUUGCGAGGACUCUCCAUUCAUUUCUAUGGGCAAAUCCCUAAUCCCAUCAAUGAUGCCCUUAACCCCCACCCAGCCCUAACCAUAACCCCCACCCUGCUCUAACCUUAACCAUAAGUAACCAAACUAAAUACGAGCCUUUUGGCAUUUUUAGUUUUUUGGUUGCAGUCACAGAUUUUUAUAAAAUUGAAUUCCCCCUUGUGGAGACUGAAUAAAAUCUCCCCAGCCCGUCAAAAUAACAGGUUUUUAUCACAUUGUGGUUUCCACAAUAUUAUUUUCAGCACUCUCCACAAUUAUUGGCACCGCUUGUAAAAAUUCAUAAAAAGGGUUAGAAAAAAAAUCUACCUUUCAGUGAAGUAGCUUCAUCUGACAUUGAAAAAAUGAGAAAAAUCCCAAUUUUCUUUGAAAUAAAUUUAUUCAAACAAAAACAGAUCCUUCAUCAAGAAAUUAUUAUUUUCAAUAAAAACACGUGCCACAAUUAUUUUCACCUGUGCAUUUAAUACUCUGUACAACAUCCCUUUGCCAGUAUUAGAGCAUUGAGUCUGCUCCUAUAACAUUUUAUAAUGUUGGAGAAUACCAAGCAGGGCAUCCGAGACCAUUCCUCUUUACAGAAUCUCUCCAGACCAUCCAGGGUCCUAGGCUCUCUCUUGUGCCCUCUUCCCUUUAGCUCCGCCCACAGGUUUUCAGUGGGGUUCAUGUCAGGGGACUGAGAUGGCCAUGGAAGAAGCUUGAUUCUGCGAUCACCUAACCAUUUUUUUUCAUUUGGACAUGUGCUUAGGAUGUUUUUAAGUGUCCUGCUGGAAGAUCCAGUGAUGGCCCAGUUUUAGUUUCCUGGCGCAGGCAGCAAAAUUUUGAUUUCAAAUAUCUUGGCAUUUCAUGGAGCCCAUAAUGCCAUGUACCACAACAAGGUUUCCAGGGUCUUUGGAGGAAAAACAGCCUCACAACAUCACAGAACCUCCACCAUAUUUUAGUAGGGAUAAGGUUCUUUUUACUACAGCCAUCCUUCUUUUUGCACCAAACCCACCUUGAAUGUUUAUUACCAAAAAGCUUUUUGAAAUUUUUGUUUCAUCAGACCAUUGAAUUUUGGUUCCAGUCAAAGUUGUAAUAGUCUUUCACAAACUCCAGGUGUUUGCGUUUGUGGUUAACUGACAAAAAAGCUUUUUUUCUGACAUACCAUCCAAAUAAUCUCUUAGAAUGAAUGGUGGUGUCUGAUGGUUUUUUCUGAGACGUGGUAACCCUAAAAAAAAAUUUUACAUUGUCUUGUAGUUCACCACCAGUGAUCCUUGGGGAUUUUUUGCCUCUCUUACAAUCUUCAUCACUGUAUGUGGAGGAAAAAUAAACUUCCAGUUGUUGUCCACUUUUUUAUUUCCCUAAGUGUAGAAAUGGGCAUUUUCAGGCGAGUAACUAUUUUUCAUACCCAUUCCCUAACUUAUGAAGGUCAACACACUUCUCCCUCAUUUGGUUCAUAUGUUCUCUUUUCUUUGCCAUGUUGAAGGAUUACUAAGGGAAUUUGGGAUCCCUGUCACCUCAUGUUUGUACCCCAGUUAAUCAGGAAGUCAUGGAUGACAGCUUGAAGAUUGCUUUUCACUCCAAUCAACUCAAAGAUGUACAAUUUACAGGAGAAACAUGCUUCACUUACAUUGUGUUCACUAUAAUUCCUAUGGGUGCCAAUAAUUGUGGCACAUGAAUUUUUGUUAAAAAUAAUUAUUUCUUGAUGAAGAAUUUGUUUUUCUUUGAAUAAAUUUAUUUCAAAGAAA
Brienomyrus brachyistius is the source of this 3755-nucleotide long non-coding RNA. RefSeq lists it as uncharacterized. The record is from RefSeq and is a predicted model, not a curated record. NCBI's taxonomy places the organism in Eukaryota, Metazoa, Chordata, Actinopteri, Osteoglossiformes, Mormyridae. The transcript has 5 exons.